Molecule: long non-coding RNA, 2076 nt
Organism: Dicentrarchus labrax (European seabass)
Lineage: Eukaryota; Metazoa; Chordata; Actinopteri; Moronidae
Exons: 2
Source: RefSeq, a predicted model, not a curated record
CAUGGUUGUUGAGGUGACCACUGACAUGGAAGCGAGGGCCCCUGGGUGUCGGGUUGCGGUGGAUGUGGAAGAAUCGUGGGUUCAGGUGCAGAUAGGAACAGCUGAAGAGAGACAGGAAAGGGGGUGAAAGAGAGGAUGACAUGCAGCAAAGGGUCUUGGACUAAAAUUAAACCCAGGCUGCUGGACUCUUACUUAGUACAUAGUACGCUCUACCAGGUGAGCUAACGGGGCACCUUGGUCUAUCUCAAGUAAUCAGUAGCCUUCACAGCUGAGUGUUGAAUUCAGUAGAACUUAAGUGUGUGUAUAGCUGCAGUAUGGCCACAAGAUUUAAUUGCAAUUUUAAAAAAUUAUAACAUAUAUAUAUAUAUAUUAAAAUCAUUGUUUGGUUCUCAACAGCUAAUUUAAUCUUUUCUAAUGUACAUAUUGUUGUUCAUUUUAGAAAUCAAUUAAUACACCACAAACCCCUCCUAUAAACAGCAGUUGUCCAUCAUAGCUUCCAGGUCUGUCAAGCUUUGGAUUUCUUUACAUGCCAAAGUGGUGUGGCUCGCAGACCAAAACUCUGUAUCUGGAGUACAAGGGCAAAAGUGUAAGACAAUUAGUGUUUACUUCUCCUGCAAAUGUUAGGCUAUUUCUGGCUGAGGACUUAAAGCAUCCCCCCUUUCGGAGCCAAGAUGCUAAUAUUAUCAGAGUUUAAAGUAAUAUCCACCAGUUUGUGGAAUCUGUGUUCAAAUCUUUCAUUACAACCUAGCUUCAUUUCACUCAAAUAUCACCAGUGUUACAAGGACAUUAGCAACUGACAAUCCAGCCAGGAAAUGGCACAAACACAUUUUAUUUUUUCAAUAAAAGGAAAUAAAAACUGUUUUUAAGAUAACGAUAACAUACCUUCCAGUCCCUGCUGACUGUGCUGAAGAUCACAGCCUGAGGUAGGAUAAUUUCCGUGUCUCUUGUGUUUUAAACUUCAGAUACAGAAGUUGUCCAUCUGAUAAGCCACUGAAUUAUCUCUCUGUCUCUGUACCCUCUCUUUCAGGUCCCUGGCUGCUCUCAGGGAGAGAUGCCCCACUAUUGUUGGUUUGGCCCCUCCUCAUCUGUGCCCAACAAGACUUUUAUUUACUGGACCAAACAGCAGAAGUCCUGGACAGUAAACAGACUGGAGCACAUAUUGGUGUUAAGACCUAUGAACUACAGUUACUUGGGGACUUAAUAUAAUAGCAACAACAACAACAAAAAACAUUCGCUAUUUGAUAAAGGAAAAACAAGUUAUCUUUCUGAAACUAUAAUUGCAAGCUAAAAUAACUCUAAUGCAUUCCUAAACACACUGCCUCUGAUGGACUUUCACAGCAACGGGGAUGUGCCAUGCACUUUACUAGCAAAUCAGAGUAGGCCUACAUAAAGCACACAUUCAAAGUAACACUACUCUAGUUUAGCCUAUAUGCCGCGAACAAAAAAACAUGGCAAAGAGUCUACAGCCAUGCUAGCGGCUACUAGGGCUGUUCUUAUGCACAGCAGUGCUUUGAGUUGAAUGCAAAUGGUAGCAUGGUCACAAUGUCAAUGCUAACAUGGUAAUGUUUAGCAGAAAUACUGUUUACAAUAUUAACCAUCUUAGUUUAGCUUGUUUGAAUGCUAACAUUUGGACUUCCGGUUUGAUGAGGUAGAGUGCAGACGUGCGAGGGGGGAGCUCCGGACAAACUUUUCAUUUACUCUUCAAAGUCUACCAAAUUAGCAGUGCUUUUCUUCCAGCCGACUCGCGUAUUAUUGAACUUUUAUAUGGGAAAGUGUAUGAGCAGCUCAAAGUCUAAAUACCAACCGAUAAAAACAACUCGAGCAACGUGCAUCUCGGCUAAGCUAGCUAGCAUGACCGCUGCCGCCGCUUCAGAGCGUUCAGACCCGGGGGGCAGUGGAGCCGAGACCGGGAACCUCUCCGACCCAGUCACCAAGAUUGACCUGCGUCAACAGCGUGAUAGCUUCAAAGCUGACAUGGCUAUCCUGAUACAACAGUCAACUGAAUCCCUGAAGCAGUCGGUCGAUGCAUUAGGACAGCAGGUGACAUCAUUUAACAACCGUCUCAGUGGGUGAAAA